Non-coding RNA from Drosophila melanogaster (fruit fly), 455 nucleotides. The record is from Ensembl. Lineage: Eukaryota; Metazoa; Arthropoda; Insecta; Diptera; Drosophilidae.
AUGUAUCAGUAUCAGGACGAAGGACGAAGGAUGGGGAUCAGUAGUAAGCAAUUCCUAGAUCUCUUGGCAUACUUCGGCCCUCAUCUGCUGCAGGCUGCAUCACUGCACCAUUGUUUGCAUAAUGAAUUCAUCACAUCAAAUACUGAUCCUGGCUGCGAUCGCAGGACUCGUCGAUUGACGAACAUAGAAGAGCCCAACAAUUGAAAAGCGGCGAGCGGAUGGAAAUGCACAAAAUUCAAAUGUCAUUCAAAUAGCGGCUGUCAGGACAAUGGCCACGCACGCGGUCAGGAUCGAUCGGAUCGGUCGGGAGUAGGAGUAGCAGUCGAAGUAUAUACUACAUAUAUAGAGGCGAAAGGUGGUUGAGGUCCUGAGAAGGAUAUUCGAGGAGUGGGAGAAGUACGAGGCACGCCUGCAUCUCAUUUAGGGACUUCGGCAAAUCUUUUCACUUCUUUUUC